AUUGACGGACUGAAGGCUCUUUCUCGAUUCCGUGGAAAGUGGUGCAUGGUCCGUUUUUGGUUGGUGGAUCGAUCCGUCUGGUUAAUUCCGUUAACGAACGAGACCUCGGCACUCCGAAUAGCGCGGCGGACGUCGCGGCCUCCGGGCCGUCUUCCGCACGAGCUUCUUAGAGGGACCGUCCCCCGCCGGGGAAGGAGGUGCGAGGCAACGACAGGUCUGUGAUGCCCUUAGAUGUUCUGGGCCGCACGCGCAUUACACUGACGCGUCCAACGGGUGACUCCCGACCCGAAGGGGCCGGGGAAUCCGCAAGGCGCGUCGUGAUGGGGAUUGAACGUUGCAAUUGUUGUUCACGAACGAGGAAUUCCUAGUAGGCGCGGGUCAUCAACCCGCGCCGAUUACGUCCCUGCCCUUUGUACACACCGCC
This 424-nucleotide ribosomal RNA is filed under the name uncultured eukaryote. RNAcentral describes it as "bacterial SSU rRNA". It matches the Rfam family "Eukaryotic small subunit ribosomal RNA", at positions 1239 to 1673 of the family's 1831-position model. The record is from RNAcentral.